AAUUUUUCCAUAGAAAUGGAAGCUCCAUAUGAUGGCAGUGAAGUUACUGUAGUAAUGGAGGAAAUAGAAAGCACAUACACCUUUGCUUCUCCGGUGCCAUCUAAAAAGAAGAAGAAAUAUAGAAGUCCUGGAGAUCAAGGGGAAAAGACUAAGAAGCCCAGAUCUGCAUACCUUCUAUAUUAUUAUGACAUAUACCUGAAAGUUCAGCAGGAGCUCCCACAUCUUCCCCAGUCUGAAAUUAACAAGAAGAUCAGUGAGAGUUGGAAGCUGCUCAGUGUGGCUGAGAAGAGUUAUUAUUUGGAGAAGGCCAAAUUAGAAAAAGAAGGUCUAGACCCGAACUCAAAGUUGUCUUCCCUGACUGCUGUGGUUCCAGACAUUCCAGGUUUCCGUAAAAUCCUCCCGCGUUCAGAUUACAUAAUUAUCCCCAAAGGCUCUCUCCAGGAGGAGAGAAGCAAGCAGCACUUGGAACUCUGCGUCACCCAGGGCCAAACAGCAUCAGAAGGACUGACAGCUUCUACCAAUGUCACAGGUGUUUCCCACAGCACUGUGCAGAACAUCCUCUCUGUAGAUUCCAGCCACAUUGGCAUUGCUGAGCAGUGCAUUGCCAUUGAAGGGGUUUCAGAAGACCCAGCCUCAUUUGUUCAGUCAGACACAAUAGAAGAAGUUGUUGCAUCGGAGAUCUUGUCUCAUUAUGUCAGACCUGAUGCACACAAAGGGGCUGGAGAUGUUCUCCUGGAUGAAGCCUCUUUGGAAGUAAGCGAUGGCUAUCCCUAUCAAGCAGCUAGCGUGGUUAUUGAAGAGACCCUGGUAAACAGUUCGGAUGCCUCCAAUGGGGGCAUUGCUGUGGCCCAACCACAGCCUUCAGAGGGUCUCUCUGUUGUAGCUGUGGUGACCCGAAGAGACAGAGAAGAAAGUAAUUCAUCAACGCCUACUGCACAGUUCAUUAUGCUACCUCUGUCAGCCCAUUCUGCUUUGGAAAAUCCAACAUCAAUCAAACUGACAACUACCUACACCCGCAGAGGGCAUGGGAAUUGCACCAACCCUGGUUGUACAUUCACAUACGUGACCAGACACAAGCCACCCAAAUGUCCAAUGUGUGGGAACUUUCUGGGAGGCAAAUGGAUCCCAAAGGAGAAACAGCCUAAAGGCAAAACUGAGCCAACUUCCAGUGUGCCUUUAAAAACAUUGGGGCCCAAAAAAAGUCAGCAGCCAUUAGCCUUGGGACAGGCUGUGGUUCACGACAGUGCCUCCAAAUCUAUGCUGGAGAGCUCCGAAGCAGUUACUCAGCUUCUGAAUGCUGCCCCUUCUGGGCAGCAGGUGCAGGAAACGGAAUGGGAAGAAGUGAUCAUCUCGGAGGCUCACAUCCUUGCAAACAACAUGCAGCCAGAGGAGCAAGGAAACGCCACGGCUGUUAUUCAACUUCAAGAGGGCAUUGUACAGGCGGAGCCUUUAUUAGAACAGAAGGACAGGGAGAAUGAAGGGCUGGAGGCACAGGCAUUGGUGGAGGUAGCGCGUGCUGCCAGCUCCCUUUCAAAUCCAGCUUCUGCCACGAAACAUCCAACAGGAGCUGAUGCUCUUGGCACUGCACCCAAAGGGCAGGAGCAGAAGAGCAAAGCCAAGCCCAAGCCUUCCUUGCUGGCCGCAGCAAGACCUACGAGGGCAAUUUUGCCUGCCCCUGUCAGUGUGGCAAGAGAAGCCAACACAGAGCAGCCUGCUUGCAGGCAGCCAUUUACAAACAAUGAAAAAAACUCCUGUGUAAGAAUCUCAGGACUGAAGCCUAGCACUCUGAAGCAGCUGGGCCAGUCUCCCUUGCAACCACCCAGUGUUGAAGAGCACAAGCUCCGUGGCAGCACAGACAGCUCAGCAUCUCACGUCAAAGUGGUGGAGGUCAAACCAGAUGUAUUCCCUUCCUAUAAGUACAGCUGCACUGUAACCUUGGACUUGGGGUUGGCCACUUCACGUGGCAGAGGGAAAUGUAAGAAUCCUUCUUGCAGUUACGUAUACACUAAUCGGCAUAAACCAAGGAUCUGUCCCAGCUGUGGCUACAAUCUUACCAAAGACAGGGCUGAGAAAACAGCAAAAUCCCUGGAGGUCACCUCUAGCCCUGCAGAUGUGCUGAACACCAGUGAGCCUCUAAUUCAGUCCCAAAAAGAAGUCCAGCGUCAGUCCACCUUACAGCUUCUUCGCAAAGUAAUACAGAUACCGGAGAACGAAUCGGAGCUGGCUGAUGUUUUUGCACUGAUUCAUGAACUCAAUAGUUCGCAGCUCAUCCUGUCCAAUAUGAAUGAGGAGACGGUCACCAUCGAGCAGACCUCUUGGUCGAACUAUUACGAGUUUCCAUCAUCCCAGUGCCUUCUCUGUAGCAGCCCUUUGUUCAAAGGAGGACCAAAUUCUCUUGCGGGUCCUCAAGAGUGCUGGUUGUUGACAGCUAAUCGGCUGCAGGUGGUCACUGCUCAGCUCAAGGUGUGCGUGAAUGUGCAGUGCUUGGCUCUCCACAGCUUCAAUGAUAUAUACACCGGCUUGUUUAAUGUGGGCAACAAGCUUUUGGUGAGCCUGGACCUUCUGUUUACAAUAAGAAAUCAUAUUAAACUCGGAGAGGAUCCUAAAGUGGCAGUCAGCAGCAUCUUGGAAUCGGUGCAGGAGCAGACUGAGAGAAACCUGAGCACAGAGGAGCUCACUCAGCUCGAAGAACUGCUAUGUAAUGGCUAUUGGGCCUUUGAGUGCCUCACUGUCCGAGACUACAAUGAUAUGAUCUGUGGAGUCUGUGGCAUCGCACCCAAAGUUGAAAUAGCCCAGAGGAAUGUGGAAAAUGUUUUGCUGCUGAAAAAUAUUGAGUUUACUUGGCCAGAAUUCUUGGCGUCUAGUGAAGUAAACGUGGAAGACUUUUGGUCCACCAUGGAGACGGAAGUGAUAGAGCAGGUGGCAUUCCCCUCCAGCAUCCCAAUCACAAAGUUUGAUGCCUCUAUCAUCUCCCCCUUCUUCCCACCACUGAUGAGGGGCACCGUGGUUGUCAACACAGAGAGAGAGAAGAACCUUGAAGCACAUAUAAUGCCAGGUAAUGCAAGUGUUCUAGUGAGGCUGAUUCAGGACGAAACCUGUAAAAUGGAGCAGAUUGGUUCAUACAGUGAGGAAGAAUUGCAGAAUUUCUUGACCCAGUGCAGCGUUCCCUGGGAGGCAGAGGACUCAAAGGAGCAGCUGUGUCUUUCUCUUCUGGCUCUAUAUGAUUUUGUACAGAAUGGGACACAGAUCAGUCAGCCCCCAGCACACUUCACUGGAGGGAAAGUCUACAAAGUCUGUCCACACCAGGUUGUGUGUGGCUCAAAAUACAUUGUGAGGGGAGAAAGCCCCCGGGACCAUGUGGACCUCCUGGCCUCUUCACGCCACUGGCCACCAGUCUAUGUGGUAGACUUGGCCUCCUCUGUGGCAUUGUGUGCAGAUAUCUGCUAUCCUGACUUGACUGCUCAGAUGUGGGGGAGGAACCAGGGCUGCUUCUCUGACCCCAUGGAGCCAUUAAAGUUUGUGUCUUGCCCAGAACUUCUUGACAGACACUACAAUGUAGAUAUGACCAGUGCUGAACAUUCCGUUCAGCAUCCUGUCACCAAAUCAGCGUCUCGACGAGUAGUUCACACCGGGACAGAGCAGAGCACUCAGGGGGACGCAACAGCUCAGUACCGUUCCCUCUCCGUUUGCCGGGAACUGGAACCCUACGGUGCUAUCAUUACAGCCAUCAAUGACAGCAAAACCAAUAAUGUCCGUCAGAGGCCUAUAACCUUUGACAACGCAACGCACUAUUAUCUUUAUAAUCGCCUGAUGGAUUUCCUCUCCAGCCGUGAGAUUGUGAACAAGCAGAUUCACGAGAUUGUACAAAGUUGCCAGCCAGGUGAGGUGGUGAUCCGGGAUACUUUGUACCGCCUAGGUGUGGCCCAGAUCAAGACGGAAAUGGAUGAAGAUGAGGAGAUCCAAGGGGAGGAUGGUGUUGCAUAAUAACAUGGUCUGAGGUGGUCAUCUUAGCCAUAGAAAAGAGAGCUAGGCUGCAGAUACUCUGGGCAGCUGUCACUCAGAUACGCCCCAGGCCUGAGCAGCUUUGACAGCUUAUGCUGACCAAAGAGUUGUGUGCUUCCAUUAAAAUCUGGAUUGGGUUUUUGAUCUGCAGACCAGCUAGCUGAAAACAGGCAGGUUUCUCCUCCCCAGGAGCUACUUGAAUCCCUAAGCCCGCUGGGAUAGCGUGCUGAACGGGAGAAGACAAAGGGUUUCCAGUGGCCUGAAAUUUGCAGAAAUGGAUUUGCAGAGGAUCAUCAAACCUGUUUUUCGAAGUGUGUAUGUUGCUGGGUGUCGGGAUCAUAACAGGAGACGACAGGGAGCCGCAAGCUUGUGUGACUUUCCCAAUAUUAUACCCUGAAGUGGGUGACCAUAAUAGAUCAUUGAGCAUUUGGAGCCCCAGCUGCUACUUGGUUCCGUUCUGAAAAGACUUGAACUUAGACUGACUUUCAGCACCAGUCAGUGUUUGAAGGGGUGAGAGCACAUCUGCUCCUCUAACUCAUUCUGGCUCUACCUGAGAAGCUUCUAUGUUUAUUUAGUGGUUGAAAUCCAGAGUGAGCUGAAGUUUUAAUGGCUCCGUGCAUUAAGUGUUUGGAGGGUGAAACUAUUUGGCCUACUGUGGAAUUUGUUGUAUGGCACCCUAAGGCUGUUGAAAGUGACUUGAAAUACUGCUCCAAAGUUCAAGAUCAUAGUUACCCAAGAUGUGGAAGGGAAAGGUUUUGUGAGGUCUGUAUCAUGUUAAGAUUAAUUUCAAACAUCUGUUGAAACAGAGUAUUGAGACAUGUAGAACAUUGCAGAAGCUACAUACUGGUGCUUUAUCAACUUAGUUAUGGGUGGCUAAAGCCUUGGGGUGGGGCAUAGGUUAUCAGGGGGAAAACACAUGAAUUACUAAUAUUACAUUUAUGCCCCACCUUGCCUACAAGCAGCUCAAGGUGGCAUGGAUGGUUCUUUUGCCAUGCCCAUUUUAUUUUCACAACAACUCUUAAGAGGUAGGCUAGGAUGAAUGAGUGGCUGGCUCAAGGUCACCCACAUGAGUUUCAUGGCUGAGAUGAAGUUUUUAAACUGGGUCACCGCAGUCCUGAUCUGAAACUCUAGCUCUGAGGUUCCGACACGGCACCUGUGAGCACUAAGGCAUUCAGAGACCUACCAGAGGAAUUUCUUGAAUCACCUUCAGGGCAGAUUUUCAGUGUUGACAUAGUCCCAAGUUUCUCUUCACUCUCCCCCAUGUUGUCUGCUUCGGCCCGCCUAUCAUUUUGUAGCUGGGAGACUUGAAAAAGAAAGAGCAGCCUUCUUUGUAGUUGAUGUCCAAUAAGAAGAGAGAACAGUUUAAUUGGACACCAGAGAGAAAAGAUAGAUUUCUAACUGGAUGGUAUCAGCAAGGGGACGUUACCUAAAGCUUUAGGUAAUGCUCAAUUAGUGCAGAAUCUCGUAGAAUUGGGCAUUUGUGUGCCUGCUUUGCCUUUAAACAAACCUGUACUUUACAUGGUUCAUAAGUAAGUACAUUAGCUGAGGCAUGGUUGUUUUUUUUUUAGUCUAUCAGAACUAUUCUCAAACUCAUUUUAUUAUUAUUUAUUACACAUUAUUUAAAAAUGCCCUUAUAGAAGAAAUUGUAUUGUCACCUAGGAAAAAAGUAAACAACUAAAGAGUUCUAAUUACUUUGCUUAAUCAAAUUGUUUUAUUUUGAAUGAGAGUUAAAUGUGAACAUACUAAUUUAUGUACUUGGAAGAAUGGUUUCAUUUGGAAACUCAACACAUAGCAGUUUACUAUUUAAAAGCAAUCUUGCAGCAAC
Molecule: RNA transcript, 5827 nt
Organism: Podarcis raffonei (Aeolian wall lizard)
Lineage: Eukaryota; Metazoa; Chordata; Lepidosauria; Squamata; Lacertidae
Gene: HMGXB3
Gene name: HMG-box containing 3
Exons: 20
Source: RefSeq, a predicted model, not a curated record